Molecule: ribosomal RNA, 440 nt
Filed under: uncultured bacterium
Lineage: Bacteria
Description: partial 16S ribosomal RNA
Rfam family: Bacterial small subunit ribosomal RNA
Source: RNAcentral
CCUACGGGAGGCAGCAGUGGGGAAUAUUGCACAAUGGGGGAAACCCUGAUGCAGCGACGCCGCGUGCGUGAAGAAGUAAUUCGGUACGUAAAGCCCUAUCUGCAGGGAAGAAAAUGACGGUACCUGUGUAAGAAUCCCCGGCUCACUACGUUCCAGCUGCCGCGGUAAUACGGAGGGGGCAAGCGUUAUCCGGAUUUACUGGGGGUAAAGGGAGCGUAGGCGGUUCGCCAAGUCUGGAGUGAAAUGCCUCAGCUUAACUGCGGAACUGCUUUGGAAACUGGCGAACUAGAGUGCGGGAGGGGUAAGCGGAAUGCGUGGUGUAGCGGUGAAAGGCGUAGAUAUUAGGAGGAACACCGGUGGCGAAGGCGGCUUACUGGACCGUAACUGACGUUGAGGCACGAAAGCGUGGGGAGCAAACAGGAUUAGAUACCCCAGUAGUC